GAUUCCCCCCACCCCCAAAAAUCCCGCCUAAAAUCUCUUCUUCUUUUUUCCCCAUUUUAUUUUUUCCCAAACCAUAUUGUUGCAAACUUGUAAGAAGAUUCAAAAGAAAUUGAAGAUAAGAGGAUACAGCUUGAAGACGGAUGGUCUUGAUGAGAUUCUCUCCUUCGUCAAUCGCUUCCAAGAUGCUGAAGAUGAGGCUAUUGAUCUCCUCCUCGACUAGCUCGAUCACCAAUCCUGUAAUUUUCUUUAUUUAUGCUUUUCUAGGGUUUUCCUUAUUUUUUUAAUAUUCUAUUAGUAUUUUUUUUAAUUGUAAGUAGUGAAUUCUUCCAUAAUCGACAAGGAGGCGGUGCACCAAGUAGUCAGUCUUCUAUUGGAUGCUAAAGCAACUGAGGAGGAGAUCUGCUUGAAUAUGCGGAUGUAAUUCUUGCAAAAAUCUCCUUGUUGAAAAUCUAGAGACUUAAUUCGUUACGGAACACUUUGAUAAUUAGUAAAAGCAAGUAAGGAGGGAAAGACUGAUGCUGGCUUUUUUUGUUUCUGACCACCUAAAAUUUCAUCCAUGAUCCUCAGUCAACGUUUGUUUCUAUGUCUAUACACCACUGUGUUACAAGCUCCUUGGAUAGUAUUAUUUUUCUAAAAAAGUAUUGCAAUCCUUAUAACAUUCAUUCUAUGGCUUUCUGUCUAAUAUGUUGGUCAGUUUCCUUUCUUUAGAUCAUGAUUUAUGAAUGAAAAGCAAUUCAUUCUUACUAAGGUGUACUGAUUUUCAGUGUUUGUUUACAGACCCUGGUUUUGAUAUAUGGGGCAUCAGUUAAUUUGAAUGUAAAGAAAAUGGAUCAAUACAGGAAUUUUAAGACUUGUACUGAAGUUCUAUUGGAGGUCUUGUAGAUUCGUUGAUUUUAGAUGAUAAGAGAUGGACGCAACUUGUAGAAGUUGCAGUUGCGAAUGUUGAUUAUUUUCUGGCUGAUAUUCUAUCAUUCUUACGAUGAGAAGUCUAUUCCUGUCAGUAUCAUACAUUUCUUGCUACAGUCUAGCAGUAAACCAUAUAUGCAAGCUAGUGAUCAAGCCUAUGCCAGUACGGUAGACACCUCUAUUUGGAGGUUGCUAGAACUACAUUGACAAAUUGUUGAUUGUCAUCUGCUACAACUGCAAGAAUGCAAAGGUAUAAAAUUUCGAAGGAGCUUGGAGGUGGUACAUGUGGUAGUGUGUUCAAAGCCUUCAAUAUAGAAACAUUUGAGAUUGUAAGGAACUUGAUCCAGUAGUUGCUUUUUUUAUCUUUCUGUUUACAUAACUACAUGAUUUAUUUUAUUUAUCAUUAAGAUAUAUUCUUCUCAUUUGUUCCUCAUGUAUGGUAGAACUUAAUUCAAUGAUUAAUAUUAUAUACUUUGCUGCAGUUAAAAAAUUUCCUUUGACGUGUAGGAAAUUCAACUUAAGUCUUGUACCUCACCUAUUUAAGUUAAUUUAAUGAUUAAUGUUGUAUGCUUAGCUUCACUUAGAAGUUUUCUUUUAACAUGAGGAAAGUCAGCACAAGUCUUAUGUGAUGAUUGAAAUGACCUCAAUGCCUUGGAGAUAGCAAAUGAUGAAUAUAGGAUCAAUUUUGAAGUCACUUUCUGAACCAUUACGUGAAUUCUUUGUUUUUAAUUGGUCAGUCUUUCAUGUACCUACUGCUAAUUUCUGGAGGUUACCUUAAAGCUUAUAUCUAAUUUCCUGUAUACCUUUUUCUAUAUGUAUAUACAUUUGAAAUGAGAUCCUAUUCGAUUUCAACAAUACAGUUUAUGGUUGGACAGCUAUCCUCUUUCUCUGCCUUAUAUCUGUCUUAUUUUUAUGUGUUGAAACUGCUUUGAUCUUUCUUUUUAUUGUAUAUUAGACGGAGAAAGCAUUUCUCAAACAACCCAAGGUGUUUUUAAGGUGAACUAGCUUCUUCCAUUGUUAUAUAUGUUUUACUUUGUUGCUAAUUCAUCUUACUCAGACCAUUGUUAUAGAAUGUGAAAAGCCAAUGAAGCCAGGAGUUCUCACUCCUGGACGUGUUCGUCUUUUGCUUCAUAGAGGUCUGUGGACUUUGAAAUAUUUUUCAGAGGGAACUCUGGUUGGAACCUGGACACAUCAAAUUACAAGUUUACAAGUUUGUUUCUAGUAGCACAUGUGGAAAAUAUAAUUGCCUUAAUUAAGUUCAUCCACUUAUAAAACCUUUGCUAUAUAUUAUCUGGAAAAGGGGGAAUCUAUUUUUGUGGCGGCACAUACAUCUGCUGGAAAGACAGUUGUAGCAGAAUAUGCAUUUGCUUUGGCAUCAAAAUUACGUUAGCUAUUUUGGUCUUUUGCUUGUAAAUCUAUAGAUGUUUUGAUUUUUUGUUAGCUGGAGAUGUGACAAAUUGCUCACAUUGAUUAAAAACCUCAGGCCAUAUCUUUUUUAUUUUCAAGUUUCUGAAGUUCUAUGCCGAAUUUGGUUUAGUUUCAAGAUUUUUGAUAAGUUUUCAUGUCAUGCAGCAUUGCACUAGAGCUGUGUAUACUGCUCCAAUUAAAACAAUUAGCAACCAGAAGUAUAGAGAUUUCUGUGGGAAGUUUGAUGUUGGCCUUCUCACAGGUGAUGUUAGUUUGAGACCAGAGGCUUCUUGUCUCAUCAUGACAACUGAAUUGUUAAGGUCAAUGCUUUAUCGAGGUGCAGAUAUUAUUCGUGAUAUUGAAUGGGUGAAGGGGUUGCUAUUUGUAGCAUUACUUUACAUAGUAGUUUCAUUACUUUUUCUGCUGAACGCUCUUGUUAGUUCUUUUGUCUAAUUUGUGAACAUGAUAUUUAAGAUGUUUCUUUC
Molecule: RNA transcript, 2798 nt
Organism: Gossypium raimondii (Peruvian cotton)
Lineage: Eukaryota; Viridiplantae; Streptophyta; Magnoliopsida; Malvales; Malvaceae
Exons: 4
Source: RefSeq, a predicted model, not a curated record